This is a non-coding RNA of Pelobates cultripes (western spadefoot toad), 657 nucleotides long. The record is from the annotation of a GenBank genome assembly. NCBI's taxonomy places the organism in Eukaryota, Metazoa, Chordata, Amphibia, Anura, Pelobatidae.
GAUCUCAUGUACAACGAGGAGAUGUGCAGCUCGUCAACAAGAGAGGAAAACUUCCGUCAGACGGUAACUCUGGAGCCAGAGGGAUCUAUCGUUAUUCCAUUUGUCAUUGUACCUCUCAAAAUUGGGGAGUUGCAGGUGGAAGUGAGGGCACUGGUCAGAGAUAUAUUCUACAGUGAUGGUGUGAUAAAGAAACUAAAGAUUGUGGUAAGUAAUGCAGAAUCAAUAAAUAGUCAGGUUUUAUUUACCCAAAUCAUCACCUAUAUUAUUGUACCAUGAAUUAUAAAAAUUGGAUUUUUAGAAACAGAAAUCUCCUUGUUUUUCCAAAUGGGCCAAAAGGGUUCAAAGUUUAAAUCCCAGAUGACAUAGCAAAGUGUAAUGUUUCUCUUUGAGGUUAUGUUCUUUUGAUUGUCUUUUGUCCUAAAUAUGGUUAGAAGACAAUAUAAUCAAUUUAACUCUAUCUUGUUUCAGCCCGAAGGGAUUAGAAUCAUGAAAACCAUCCAGAGUGUUGUAUUGGACCCAUUACGUUCUGAUGCCGGUGUGUGAGAUCUGCUCUGUGUGUGGAGGUUUGGUGUCAGUGGAUAUUGAGAUAUAUGUUCCACUAGCUAGGUUCUGCUAGUUUGUCAUUUGAUGUUUUUUUCCAUUGACAAGAGAUAAAAU